GGUCAAGUUAUUAAGGGUGCAGGGCGGAUGCCUUGGCACUAGGAGCCGAUGAAGGACGUGAUAAGCUGCGAUAAGCUUCGGGGAGUUGCACGUAAACUUUGAUCCGAAGAUUUCCGAAUGAGGAAACUCACUUAGAGUAAUGUCUAAGUAUCAUUAAGUGAAUACAUAGCUUAAUGAGGGGAACUCAGGGAACUGAAACAUCUAAGUACCUGAAGGAAGAGAAAGAAAUUCGAUUCCGUAAGUAGCGGCGAGCGAACGCGGAUUAGCCCAAACCAAUAAAGUUUUCUUUAUUGGGGUUGCGGACAUAUCAUAACGAAGAGGUAUCGUAAUUGAAGAGGUUUGGAAAGACCCACCACAGAAGGUAAUAGUCCUGUAUGUUAAACGAGAAGACUUCAGAUAUGAUCCAGAGUACCACGGGACACGUGAAACCCUGUGGGAAGCAGGAGGGACCACCCUCCAAGGCUAAAUACUACCUAGUGACCGAUAGCGUAUAGUACCGUGAGGGAAAGGUGAAAAGAACCCCGGGAGGGGAGUGAAAUAGAACCUGAAACCCUGCACUUACAAGCUGUGGAAGCACAUUUCUUGUGUGACCGCGUACUUUUUGUAGAACGGGCCAACGAGUUACGUUAAGUAGCAAGGUUAAGCACUUAAGGUGCGGAGCCGUAGCGAAAGCGAGUUUUAACUGAGCGUUCAGUUACUUGACGUAGACCCGAAACCGGGCGACCUACCCAUGAGCAGGAUGAAGCGAAAGUAAAAUUUCGUGGAGGUCCGAACCCACGAGCGUUGAAAAGCUCGGGGAUGACUUGUGGGUAGCGGUGAAAUUCCAAUCGAGCCCGGAGAUAGCUGGUUCUCCCCGAAAUAGCUUUAGGGCUAGCCUCAAGGUGAGAGAUACGGAGGUAGAGCACUGAAUGUCCUAGGGGGUAUUGCACCUACCGAAGACUAUCAAACUCCGAAUGCCGUCAUCUUAUACUUGGGAGUCAGACUGUGGGUGAUAAGAUUCAUAGUCGAAAGGGCAACAGCCCAGAUCGUCAGCUAAGGUCCCUAAAUGUAAGUUAAGUGGUAAAGGAUGUGGGAUUGCACAGACAACCAGGAUGUUGGCUUAGAAGCAGCCACUCAUUCAAAGAGUGCGUAAUAGCUCACUGGUCGAGUGAUCCUGCGCCGAAGAUUUCCGGGGCUAAAACUUACUACCGAAGCUACGGCAUCAGUAAUGAUGGGUAGGGGAGCUUCCCAUACGGGUUGAAGCAUGACCGUAAGGACAUGUGGACAGUAUGGGAGUGAGAAUGUUGGCAUGAGUAGCGAGAUGUGGGUGAGAAUCCCACAGGCCGUAAACCCAAGGUUUCCAGGGGAAGGUU
Molecule: ribosomal RNA, 1352 nt
Filed under: Clostridioides difficile
Lineage: Bacteria; Bacillati; Bacillota; Clostridia; Peptostreptococcales; Peptostreptococcaceae
Description: partial 23S ribosomal RNA
Rfam family: Bacterial large subunit ribosomal RNA
Source: RNAcentral